RNAcentral lists this ribosomal RNA (325 nucleotides) under uncultured eukaryote. Its description in RNAcentral is "partial 18S ribosomal RNA". It matches the Rfam family "Eukaryotic small subunit ribosomal RNA", at positions 1470 to 1796 of the family's 1831-position model. The record is from RNAcentral.
CCCUUAGAUGUCCUGGGCCGCACGCGCGCUACACUGAUGCAUUCAACGAGUUCUACCUUGGCCGAGAGGCCUGGGCAAUCUUUUGAACCUGCAUCGUGAUAGGGAUAGAUUAUUGCAAUUAUUAAUCUUGAACGAGGAAUUCCUAGUAAACGCAGAUCAUCAAUCUGCAUUGAUUACGUCCCUGCCCUUUGUACACACCGCCCGUCGCACCUACCGAUUGAAUGGUCCGGUGAAGCCUCGGGAUUGUGGCGAGUUCCCUUUAUUGGGAGUUUGUCGCGAGAACUUGUCUAAACCUUAUCAUUUAGAGGAAGGUGAAGUCGUANCA